GGUCCUUUUGCUUUCAGGUUGAAGUACCCAGCAGGAUUUAGGCCAAAUCGGAAGUACCUUGAGGAGGUUGUCAGGUGGCAAAAGAUGGCAUUUCCUUCACCUUAUUUGUGUUAGCAAUAAUCCUGUGCAUGCAUGUACAUGUCCAGGUUCAGACUUCAGAAUGUCCAGGUGCAGCCUUUAGUGUAAGCAGAUUUUCAGCUAGCAGAUUAGGGAGGAUAAUAGGCAAUCAUAGCAGUAAUGCCGGCAGUAACCAGGUGGUUUAAGUUAGUCCUUAUUGUAGCAUGUAUCCAGCUAUACAUAACAAGAAAAAAAAAUCAGAAAAGCAGCAAGCAAUUGCAGCACCGAUGACUACUGUG
This 356-nucleotide long non-coding RNA is filed under the name Panicum hallii. RNAcentral's name for it is "long non-coding RNA (PHAL_LNC000716)". Lineage: Eukaryota; Viridiplantae; Streptophyta; Magnoliopsida; Poales; Poaceae. The record is from RNAcentral.